AAGUGCAUGUGGUGGAUGCCUUGGCGAUUACAGGCGAUGAAGGACGUUGUAGCCUGCGAUAAGCCGCGGGGAGCUGGCAAACAAGCUUUGAUCCGCGGAUGUCCGAAUGGGGAAACCCACCCGCAAGGGUAUCGCUGACUGAAUCCAU
This 148-nucleotide small RNA is filed under the name Lautropia mirabilis ATCC 51599. It matches the Rfam family "Bacterial large subunit ribosomal RNA", at positions 13 to 167 of the family's 2925-position model. Lineage: Bacteria; Pseudomonadati; Pseudomonadota; Betaproteobacteria; Burkholderiales; Burkholderiaceae. The record is from RNAcentral.